GACGAACGCUGGCGGCGUGCUUAACACAUGCCAGUCGAACGGAAAGGCCCUGCUUUUGUGGGGUGCUCGAGUGGCGAACGGGUGAGUAACACGUGAGUAACCUGCCCUUGACUUUGGGAUAACUUCAGGAAACUGGGGCUAAUACCGGAUAGGAGCUCCUGCUGCAUGGUGGGGGUUGGAAAGUUUCGGCGGUUGGGGAUGGACUCGCGGCUUAUCAGCUUGUUGGUGGGGUAGUGGCUUACCAAGGCUUUGACGGGUAGCCGGCCUGAGAGGGUGACCGGCCACAUUGGGACUGAGAUACGGCACAGACUCCUACGGGAGGCAGCAGUGGGGAAUAUUGCACAAUGGGCGGAAGCCUGAUGUAGCAACGCCGCGUGCGGGAUGACGGCCUUCGGGUUGUAAACCGCUUUCGCCUGUGACGAAGAGUGAGUGACGGUAAUGGGUGAAGAAGCACCGGCUAACUACGUG
This 468-nucleotide ribosomal RNA is filed under the name uncultured bacterium. RNAcentral's name for it is "partial 16S ribosomal RNA". It matches the Rfam family "Bacterial small subunit ribosomal RNA", at positions 28 to 507 of the family's 1533-position model. The record is from RNAcentral.